Long non-coding RNA from Limulus polyphemus (Atlantic horseshoe crab), 346 nucleotides. RefSeq lists it as uncharacterized. Lineage: Eukaryota; Metazoa; Arthropoda; Merostomata; Xiphosura; Limulidae. The record is from RefSeq and is a predicted model, not a curated record. The transcript has 2 exons.
AGUUACUGCUGACCUACCAGAAGACCAAACAAAAACAAAUUUCAUCCUUCUACUUCCACAAAGAUAUGACAACAUAGUUCAGUAAGGGCAGCAAAAGUUUUAUAUAUUACAAAUUGGUCGGACCUUGGUCUGUGUUUCAAGCAUCGUUAAACAGGUCAAAGCAUAGUCACUCACCACCUGGACGGAAAGUUUAAUUUAUUACAGCAUUAUUUUUUUCUGGGCCUCAUGUUUUCAACUAAACUUUUGGUAUUUUGGUUCGUUAAUUCAGAAAAUUCAUGUUUCGAAAUCUGUAGUGGUGUAAAUCUGCCCGUUACCUCCUAGUAAUUAAAACAUGAUUCUAAGACAA